RNAcentral lists this ribosomal RNA (683 nucleotides) under Menathais bimaculata. RNAcentral describes it as "partial 16S ribosomal RNA". The stretch from base 1 to 513 matches the Rfam family "Bacterial large subunit ribosomal RNA", at positions 1944 to 2925 of the family's 2925-position model. The record is from RNAcentral. Lineage: Eukaryota; Metazoa; Mollusca; Gastropoda; Neogastropoda; Muricidae.
GACCGUGCAAAGGUAGCAUAAUCAUUUGCCUUAUAAUUGAAGGCUAGUAUGAAUGGUUUGACGAGAAUUAAGCUGUCUCUUUUCAACUAAAUAUAACUUUAUUAAUAGGUGAAGAAGCCUAUAUUAAAUUGAAAGACAAGAAGACCCUAUCGAGCUUUAAAUAAUUUGACAGAUUAAUAGUAUAUUAAUUAAAAAAAUUAAACUAAAAAGAAUUUUGGUUGGGGCGACCAAGGAACAAAUAAAGCUUCCUUUAAUUUAAUAGAAUACAUACAAGUAUUGAUCCAGUGAGACUGAUUAAAGGAAUUAGUUACCGUAGGGAUAACAGCAUAAUCCUCUUUGAGAGUCCCCAUCGAAAAGGGGGUUUGUGACCUCGAUGUUGGACCAGAAUACCCAGAAGAUGCAGCCGUCUUCAAUGGUUGGUCUGUUCGACCAUUAAAAUUCUACGUGAUCUGAGUUCAGACCGGCGUGAGCCAGGUCAGUUUCUAUCUUCAAUUAAUAAAAUAGCUUUAGUACGAAAGGACCAAGCUAUUGCAAUAUUUUGUUACAAACUGAUUAGAUAUAAAUAUCUAUUGAGCUAAUAAUGGAAUCAAAUUAGCAAAGAUUAAUGCAAUUGACUUAGGAUCAAUAGACAUAGGCGGAACUCCUUUAUUUGAUAAAUGAGCAGCAUAAAGAUGGCAGAAUAA